This is a long non-coding RNA of Onychostoma macrolepis, 1694 nucleotides long. RefSeq lists it as uncharacterized. NCBI's taxonomy places the organism in Eukaryota, Metazoa, Chordata, Actinopteri, Cypriniformes, Cyprinidae. The record is from RefSeq and is a predicted model, not a curated record. The transcript has 3 exons.
CCAUAUUUGGUCUAUCUAGGAUUGCUUAAACAAGAGAAACAGCAUCACUGUAAAGGACAGAAGUUUUAGACAUCUUAUAAGUGUGGUUUUCAACCUUGAAGGGGCCAAAUAAAGGAAGUUCUGAUUAUUUCUUCACCCCUUUUGAAUGUUGCGGUGCUCCUCGGCCAUGAAGAAUCUGCAGUUUGUUGUUCUUCAUGGGUGAGAGUCUUCACGACGUCAGCACUCUUUCUUCUCCAAAACCUUGAAUGAACAAAAGGAGGAUUGUGGUCAGUCGUCUAGCAAACGCGUCAUGCAGCCCCUGAGGAAAAGACGUCACAGAUUACAGGAGACUCGCCAGAUGCUCAGUUACACUGGGUUUGGAGUCCGUCAUUUUGAUGCUGAAAGCUGCUUCCUGUCCCUGCAGACACUGAGUGGCGGUGGCUCUUUGAAACAGCGGGCAGGAGCGCUGGGUCAGAACCGGGCCUGGAUUAGGGCCGUGUGGCCUAUCCUGUCGCCCCAGCACUGUCAUUUCAGUCACUUCCUCCACUUCCUGUUGACGCCACUUGGCACAUCUGUACAAUAAACACUGCCUUCCUGCCUCCCUGCAGCCCACGGUCCAGGAGAUUCAACAUCAGCUCUCUCUCGAGCAGUGCCCGCUGUCUAAACACUGGGCAGAGUCAUCUGGAGAAAGCCUGUGAAAUUCAACAUGCCCGGAGGAAUAUGCAAGCGCUUUAUAGUCAUCCUGACUGGUUAUUUUUGCAUCGGCCAGCCUUCCUGCCACACACACUUUAGAUAAGAGUGCUGAGAAUAAAGAUACUCACGCCUCAAUCUCAGCUGUCAUGCUAAACUCUUCAAAACACAGAAGAAUGUAUUAUUAAAACAACAUGUUUCUUCAGAACAAAUUGGAGAUUUUUCUUCUUGGCAGUAUAAAAUAUCACAGUUGAUGAAAAUGUUUAAUGCAGGCAUUUCAAGCAUGCACAUGUUUGCUUCAUUAUUAAUGAAGAAGAGAAUGUAGAAGAAUCUGACACAUCUGGAGGAAAACCUUCAAACUUAAGCUCUCACAAGUGCAAAAAGAAUUAUUCCACUUAAAGGUGGAUUUUUUUUGAGCAGCAAAUCGGCAUAUAGAAUGAUCUCUGAAGGAUCGUGUGACUGAUGACUGAAAUAAUGAUGCUGAAAAUUCAAGAAUAAAAUGCAUUUUAAAGUGUAUUCAAAUAGAAAACAGUUAAUUUAAACUGUAAUAUUAUUUCACAAUAUUACAGUUAUUAUUGUAUUUUUUUGACCAAAUAAACGCAGCCUUAUUGUCAAAAAUGUUAAACACCCUUCAGAAAAUGAUUUUCUUACUAAUAUUUAUGUUGUUUUCAAUUACAAUAAUUACGAAUUCUAACAAUUCUUAAAUCAUGAUGCAUUUACUUGAGAAGCAACCUAAGAUAUUAAGUUGUGUUGUCUGAAAUAAAUCAGCAAAAUUAAGUGAGUUUAUGCUUAAAACAAAUCAAUUUAAUUUUAAAGGGAAAACAAAAUUAUUUUUCUUACCCCACUAAAAGAUAUUUUUUUCUUGUUUUAUGCAUAAACUCACUCAGUUUAGAUUUUGUUAAUUAAUUAAUAUCUUAAGUACCUUGAUUUAACAAGGUUUAGAUAUUUGUACUGAAAAACAAGACAAAAAUCAUGUUUUGCAGCACAGUCUUACCAACUCAAACGUUUGAACUGUAAUGUUAAUG